CUAGAGAGCCGCCUCUUGCAAGCUGCCCUUCGUUCCGUCUUCACCCUGGGCACGGAGAAGGACACCAUCAACAUCCAGGCUCUGCACAAAGUCAUGCCAGAGCUCCUGGAUGCCGAGCUGGGGAACCUGUUGGCAGAGUCCCCAGACGCAGACAGGCUCCACUACAUCUUGGAGUGUCCAGGGUGUCCCAGGAGAGAGCCAGGGCCAUUAGGAGCAGCACGGCCCUGCUCAGAUUUGCAGUCACCCUCCCUGAGUUUGAUGGCUGACCAUACACGAGGCAGAAGAUCUGUGGUGCCACGAGUGGCACCAGGACAGCAGGCUCCUGGGCUAUAAGAACACAGCCAGGGUGGGGGAGGUCUUUGGAAAAUUCUUCUCUGAGGGGCAGAGAAAAUACUUCCUCCAGACAGCAAUGCUGGCGAUCCAUGACCCCCUGCUGCGUGUCAGCCAGGCUGGGCUGCUCCUCACAUACUCCAUCCUGGGGGAAGCCCAGCAACUGAUGGGGGACAAGCUGGAGGAUGUCACAGCCAAGGUGAUGUGCGAGCUCCGCAUCAUCCAGCACUUGCACCAGGUGCCCGAGGCGCUGCAAGGGCUGCGCCUCAUCUGAUGCCCUUAAAGGUUCCCCUCCCAUGUUCAGCAACUCCCGCUCCCUGCUGCAGCAAGAGGCUCCCCAGAGAUGUCCUCAAACCUGUUCUCCUGAGAGCGUUUCUGGGAGGAGGCUCCCGUCCCUCAGUCUCCAACUCCAUCAUGCAGUCUCAUUCACAUAACAUCUCUGCUCUCCAGCUCCACUUCCCGCAGCAGGACAAACAAACCUUCAGCUCCUGGAGACCUGACUCUGACCUCCUUCUGAUCAGCAAUGGGGUUUCACCAUCCCCUCAACAAACCUGUCAGCCUCUGAAUGAUGAAUGUCAGAGUCACCAGAACCAGCAAAACUCCAUCUGCAGCCAGUCGAGCCUUUGUGAACUUAGCCCCUCUGGAAACCAGGUCUGAACUGGAGAGGUCUGAACUCAUGGACUCAUAGACUUUAAGGUCAGAAGGGACCAUUAUGAUCAUCUAGUCUGACCUCCUGCACAAUACAGGCCACAGAAUCUCACCUACCCACUUUUGUAACAAACCCCUAACCUAUGUCUGAACUAUUGAAGUCCUCAAAUAAUGGUUUAAAGACUUUAAGGUGCAGAGAAUACUCCAGCACGUGAACCAGGCCCUAUACUGCAGAGGAAGGUGAAAAACCCCCAGGGCCUCUGCCAAUCUGCCCUGGAGGAAAAUUUCUUCCCGAGCCUAAAUAUGGCGAUCAGCUAAACACUGAGCAUGUGGGCAAGACUCACCUGAACCCAAUAAGAGCAGGACUGGGCAGAGCAGGUCUGUAACAGGGAAAGGAGAGUGCUUUCCCCUGGGCUGCAGAGCCUGGGGCUUAGCCAAACUGAUUACAGAAUGAGUCCUACCUCAGAGGGACCAUGUAUUGGCCCCGAAAGAACCAGACUUCAGUGGCAAUAAAGCCUAGCUGGGCUAUGAACUGGAAUGAGAACUAGGUAGGACGUUGAAAGCAGCAAGGAAAGCCUAGAAGGGAACUUGAGAAGAGAGGUAGGAUGUGCCCAGAGAAACCUGCAGCAAAGAGAAAAGAGCAGACCUAGCUGUUGAGUAUAGAGCCCUGGGCUGCUAUCAGUGUCAGGGUGGGACCGGGUUCCUCUACUGGCCCCAAAGAAGGGAGCAUACAUGCACCCAGAGCAGGUUACCAAGCCCAGCAAGGGAGCUACAGGCUGAGCCAGAGCCCCAGCGAGAGCAGAAGAACUUUUUUUCUCUGGGAAGACCUCUUUGGACUGUCAGUGUGUGACAAGCUGAGCCCCAGAAGCGUGGACUAAAGGUGGUGAGCUGGCCAGAGGGACAAAUUACCAGGCAGAGAGACUGCCAUGGUGCUGGAGUGACCAUAGAUGGAGGACCAGAGGGCACCUAACAAUGAGUAGAUUAAUUUAUUAUUGGCAUAGUCAGCAGGAUUGAAUUCCCCUGUCAUCCGUGAGGGCUCAUGGAAGUCUUGGUUACUGAAGGAAGAUCCGUCCCCCCAAGUGGGAUUUCCCAUUUGAGUUCCAGGGACUGGUUAAGCAGCCAAAGCAGGUCUCGGGGUUUCUCCAGCAACUCCUAGAAACCCAACAGAAGCAGAAGGAAGUGCAGGCAGAGCUACAGAUGCAGCUGGU
Molecule: long non-coding RNA, 2186 nt
Organism: Mauremys mutica (yellowpond turtle)
Lineage: Eukaryota; Metazoa; Chordata; Testudines; Geoemydidae
Exons: 7
Source: RefSeq, a predicted model, not a curated record